CCAUAAUUUCUCAUUCCUCAUCUUUAUUGUUAACCCUAAGAGGGCAACUGGGUAAAGGUAAAAUCAAACAAAUAUAUGAAUCUCUUACUCCUCUUCGGAAUUUCAAUAAGAAGAAGAUUCACUAAAGUUUUGGAUUUAGAAUUUUUUUUAAAUUCUCUUAAUUUUUCAUCUCAUAUUCAUCGAUUUAGAGUUUAGCUCUUCCGUGUGUAAGUCUGGAAGAUACUAUUGUUACUUUGUUGAGUGAAAGAUGGCAGAUUUCCACCAAAGAUUGGUUCCUUGCCUCCAUUUUUAUUAUAUGAUUUACUUGAGCCAUAGUCUAUCAGAAACAAUCUCUCUACCUUCCCAAGGUAAGGUUAAGUAUGCAUACACACCAUCCUCCCUAGACCCACUUCUACUUCUGGGAUUGCAUUGGUAUGUCAUUGUUGUUGUUUGCCUCCUUUGUUUGAUUCAGGGUUGGGGGAAGGCUAGCUAAACUAUAUACUUCUAAUUUUACUAUGUUACUAUCAAUACAUAUGGUUAUACCUUUUUAAUUUUU
Molecule: long non-coding RNA, 535 nt
Organism: Solanum tuberosum (potato)
Lineage: Eukaryota; Viridiplantae; Streptophyta; Magnoliopsida; Solanales; Solanaceae
Exons: 2
Source: RefSeq, a predicted model, not a curated record